GUCUCCGGACCAAAGAUUUAUCGCCCUUGGAGCGGUUUGCUUACUAUUAGCUUGUUGGUGGGGUAAAGGCCUACCAAGGCUUAGAUGGUUAGCGGGUGUGAGAGCAUGACCCGUCUCACUGGGACUGAG
This 129-nucleotide ribosomal RNA is filed under the name uncultured bacterium. Its description in RNAcentral is "partial 16S ribosomal RNA". It matches the Rfam family "Bacterial small subunit ribosomal RNA", at positions 192 to 323 of the family's 1533-position model. The record is from RNAcentral.